This 566-nucleotide ribosomal RNA is filed under the name Microbacterium sp. RNAcentral's name for it is "bacterial SSU rRNA". It matches the Rfam family "Bacterial small subunit ribosomal RNA", at positions 502 to 1062 of the family's 1533-position model. Lineage: Bacteria; Bacillati; Actinomycetota; Actinomycetes; Micrococcales; Microbacteriaceae. The record is from RNAcentral.
UACGUGCCAGCAGCCGCGGUAAUACGUAGGGUGCAAGCGUUAUCCGGAAUUAUUGGGCGUAAAGAGCUCGUAGGCGGUCUGUCGCGUCUGCUGUGAAAUCCCGAGGCUCAACCUCGGGCUUGCAGUGGGUACGGGCAGACUAGAGUGCGGUAGGGGAGAUUGGAAUUCCUGGUGUAGCGGUGGAAUGCGCAGAUAUCAGGAGGAACACCGAUGGCGAAGGCAGAUCUCUGGGCCGUAACUGACGCUGAGGAGCGAAAGGGUGGGGAGCAAACAGGCUUAGAUACCCUGGUAGUCCACCCCGUAAACGUUGGGAACUAGUUGUGGGGUCCUUUCCACGGAUUCCGUGACGCAGCUAACGCAUUAAGUUCCCCGCCUGGGGAGUACGGCCGCAAGGCUAAAACUCAAAGGAAUUGACGGGGACCCGCACAAGCGGCGGAGCAUGCGGAUUAAUUCGAUGCAACGCGAAGAACCUUACCAAGGCUUGACAUACGCGAGAACGCCCUAGAAAUAGGGAACUUCUUUGGACACUUCGUGAACUAGGUGGUGCAAUGGUGUCGUCAAGCUCG